GGGGACGACACAAAAUGUAUUGGCUGCCAUUACAUUUGAUUUGAAAUUUUCCUAUGUUCUAGCUGGUUGGGAAGGUAGUGCACAUGAUUCUCGUAUUUUAAGUGAUUCACUUUCACGUCCAGGAGGAUUAAGAAUUCCGGAAGGUAAAUCAUAUAAUGGGAGUUGAUCCUAGUGAUUUACUUAAUCAAGGAUUAUACGAGGCGUCUGAGUCUGAUUUGAUAAUACCAACUCUCACGAGCGAGAAGAAAGACAAGAAGCAAGAGAAUGGUGCGCUAAGAGAGAUGAAAUUGCACAAACUAUGUGGACUGAUUAUAUGGCUAGAAAUAUUUAGGUUUAGGGCUUAGGGUUGUUGUUUCUAUGUUAUGUAUGUUUUAGUAUUUAAAAUUUUUUGAAUGUUGUUUUUGUAAAUGUUGGUUGGAUAAUGAUAUUGAAAUUUUAGUUUGUUGGA
Long non-coding RNA from Gossypium raimondii (Peruvian cotton), 448 nucleotides. RefSeq lists it as uncharacterized. The record is from RefSeq and is a predicted model, not a curated record. The transcript is spliced from 2 exons. NCBI's taxonomy places the organism in Eukaryota, Viridiplantae, Streptophyta, Magnoliopsida, Malvales, Malvaceae.